UUCUAAGUAAUAAGGUAAUCUAUACCAAUAUAUAUAUAUAAAAAGGAAAAUGUUCAGAUCAGGCACAUAUAUGCAAAUCAAUAUAAAUAACUUCAAAUUGUAUCUUUUAAUAAUAUUACCGUAGAAAGGCUUGUAUAUGUAUAGUCCGCGGUUUUAUUUUCCAAAAUUGGACCUUCCAGACGGGGUGCGGACUAUAGAGUACAAUUAGCAAGAAAUAAGAGAAAAAUUUCAAUUUCGCGGGCGAGGUGGUUUGUUUACGUUCCGCCAUCUUUGUUAUUUAUAUUGUAGAGUGCGCUCUUAUCAUUUUUCAAACUAAUAAUUUUAACUCAUCCAUAUUAAUUAGUUAUUUCUAUUCAAUAUCAAAUUAAUACUGAUAAAUAUAAAAACUAAACCUUUCAUUACAAAUUUCUCGUUUCUUUUCAAUGCAUUGGUUGAAAUAAACUGGUAUCUGCUUGAUUGAAACGAUACAAACAUAGUGAAUAAAAUGCUCCGCAGGGCGCAGCUUGAUACGACCGCAGAGGUCGAACCCUGAACAGUUGGGGGAAGUAAGGACACAACAUUCAAGCUUGAUACAGCUUUGGAUUUGGAUUGUGAUUAAAUAUUUGACACAGCAUAGGUUUCUGACACAGAAUGAAUGUGGUCUAAGAACUUAAAAAAAUUUAAUUUACCUAUUCAAACCAUAUCAUUAUUAUUUGCUUAUAUAUAUAAAUCAGAAAUAACCAAUUUAAAAUGGAAAAUUUUAAAGAAAAAAAAGAUAAAAAAAAUCCCCCCCCCCCCAAUUUUUUGAACCCCCUUAUGAUUCAUCACCCCCAAACUCAAUCCCAACCUUCCCUUUGUGGUAUGGUACCUUGCAGUACAAUUUCAGAGAGAUCCAUACACUUGAACACAAGUUAUUGUCUGGAAACUAGAAAAAUGCUUGUUUUUGGCCCCAAAUUUCUAAACAUUUAGGUCAAUUACCCCCAAACUCAAACCCAGCUUUCCCUUUGUGAUAUGGAACCUUGCAGUACAAUUACAUAAAGAUCCAUACACUUACACACAAGUUAUUGUCCUGAAACUUGAAAAAUGCUUGUUUUUUUGCCCCUUUAUGGCCCCUUUUUCCUCAAAUUUUGAGGGAAUUACCACCAAAAUCAAUCCCAGCCUUCCCUUUGUGGUAUGGUACCUUGCAGUACAAUUUCAGAGAGAUCCAUACACUUGAAAACAAGUUAUUGUCUGGAAACUAGAAAAAUGCUUAUUUUAUGCCCCCUUUUCCUAAACGUUUUGGGCAAUUACCCCCAAACUCAAUUUCAGCCUUCCCUUUGUGAUAUCGAACCUUGUAGUACAAUUUCAUAAAGAUCCAUACACUUACACGCAAGUUAUUGUCAUGAAACUAGAAAAAAUGCUUGUUUUUUGCCCCUUUUUUGCCCCUUAUUCCUAAAAUUUGGAGGCAAUUACCCCCAAAAUCAAUCCCAGCAUUCCCUUUGUGAUAUGGAACCUUGUGGUACAAUGUCAGAGAGAUCAAUACACUUACUCACAAGUUAUUGUCAUGAAACUAGAAAAAUGCUUGUUUUUUGGCCCUUAUUCCUAAAAUUUGGAGGCAAUUACCCAAAAAAUCAAUCCCAGCAUUCCCUUUGUGAUAUGGAACCUUGUGGUACAAUGUCAGAGAGAUCCAUACACUAACACACAAGUUACGUCUGGAAGUUACAAAAAUGCUUAUUUUUGGCCCCUUAUUCCUUAACUGUUGAUACCAUAACCCCCAAAAUCAAUCCCCACCUUCCUUUUGUGGUAUUGAACCUUACAGUAAAAUUUCAUAGAGAUCCAUUCACUUAAACUAAAGUUAGAGUGCGAAAACCAUUGUAUCUUCGGACAGCGACGCCAACGUCAUACCAAUAUACGACCGCAAAUUUUUUUUGCAGUCGUAUAAAAACUCGACUCUGCCAGUUGGUCUAGAAUAGUACGACAUAUUCUUCUCUCAAUAAUAUGUUAUCACUGUCAAUAAUUUGCAUGUAAAAUUUCCCAUUGGAACAUUAAGCAUUCCUCCUUACACAAUCAAUUAUUAAGAAAUUCUAAGCAUUCUUGAAAAGAUGUUAUAUUUACAUGAAGUAGUCCUUAAAUACAGAAAUGAACUGCAAGCCAUGCAAAUAAAAUGAAACAUAGAUGUCAACAUUAAGAAAAUUGAACAUUUAAAAAAAACCAAAAUAGAAUCAUUAGUUUAUAGGAAUGUUAGUUCUAUAGUAAGGUAGGACAAUUAUACAAAUAUAUGAGAGAUUUGAAUACAAUACAUGCAAAAUGUUUAUUGAUAAAUCCAGAAUAUGUGCAUUUGGAGAUUGAUUCUUACAUGGAAAACAAACAUUUAUUCUUAUACAGUCUUAUUAUCAAGGCAUACUACUAGAAAAUAAAAUGCUCCGCUGGGCGCAGCUUGAUACCACCACAGAGGUCGAACCCUGAACAGUUGGGGCAAGUAUGGACACAACAUUCAAGAUUGAUACAGCAACUGAAUUUGGAUUGUAAUUAAAUAUUUGACACAGCAUAGGUUUCCGACACAGAAUGAAUGUGGUCUAAGGACUUAAAAUUUUUUAAUUUACCUAUUCAAACCAUAUCAAUAUUAUUUGCUUCUAUAUAUAAAUCAGAAAUAACCAAUUUAAAAUGGAAAAUUUUAAAGAAAAAAAAAAGGGAAAAAAGUCCCCCCCCCCCAUUUUUUGAACCCCCUUAUGAUUCAUCACCCCCAAACUCAAUCCCAGCCUUCCCUUUGUGGUAUGGUACCUUGCAGUACAAUUUCAGAGAGAUCCAUACACUUGAACACAAGUAAUUGUCUGAAAACUAGAAAAAAUGCUUGUUUUUUGGGCCCAAAUUCCUAAAUGUUUAGGGCAAUUACCCCCAAACUCAAACCCAGCUUUCCCUUUGAGAUAUGGAACCUUGUAGUACAAUUUCAUAAAGAUCCAUACACUUACACACAAGUUAUUGUCCUGAAACUUGAAAAAUGCUAGUUUUUUUGCCCCUUUUUGGCCCCUAAUUCCUAAAAUUUGGAGGCAAUUACCCCCAAAAUCAAUCCCAGCCUUCCCUUUGUGGUAUGGUACCUUGCAGUACAAUUUCAGAGAGAUCCAUACACUUGAACACAAGUUAUUGUCUGGAAACUAGAAAAUGCUUAUUUUUGGCCCAUUUUUGG
This is a long non-coding RNA of Mytilus californianus (California mussel), 3142 nucleotides long. RefSeq lists it as uncharacterized. The transcript has 2 exons. Lineage: Eukaryota; Metazoa; Mollusca; Bivalvia; Mytilida; Mytilidae. The record is from RefSeq and is a predicted model, not a curated record.